UACAAUAAGGAAAUGCCUUAGCUGUAGACAUCAUUUAUGGAACCUUAUAAAUAGAGCUCACAUUCAAAGGAUUUGCAAGAGAAGAAUUGUAUGAUACAUUUACACCUGCAGGUACAGCAAGCACCUCUAACUGUUUCUAUGACAGAUUUUCAGCUUGUGCUCCUGUCUCUAAGUUACCUGCCAGAGGACACUGGGAAAAGUGUCAGCACCGUGAGAAGUACAGAUGAAAACACUGCCUAUGCAGUGGUGCAGGAGAUGAUAAAUCACAUGCCAAGCUCACCCCUGAACUGCCUCAGGAAGGGAAGCAAGAAAAUGUGUAACAAUGAAUGAAGAAAAGGAACUCUGGCAGCGAAAGGAGGCUUGGCAUAUCGCUCAGUGGUAGACCACAUCUAGCACACAUGAGGUCGUGGGUUCAAUCCCUAGAACAGUAAACACAGAAACCAAAAAAGACAGGGGACUGGAGUGACACUUUUGGAUUUUUGGUUUCAUUACAGAACACA
This 500-nucleotide long non-coding RNA is filed under the name Mus pahari (shrew mouse). RNAcentral describes it as "lncRNA (MGP_PahariEiJ_G0005528.1)". The record is from RNAcentral. Lineage: Eukaryota; Metazoa; Chordata; Mammalia; Rodentia; Muridae.